Vespa velutina is the source of this 70-nucleotide small nucleolar RNA. NCBI's taxonomy places the organism in Eukaryota, Metazoa, Arthropoda, Insecta, Hymenoptera, Vespidae. The record is from RefSeq and is a predicted model, not a curated record.
CUCAUGUGAUGACAAUUUUUCUUGCUUGAUUAAUCGUGGAAGCAAAAAUCUGAUUUAAUGAGCCUGAUGA